AGAUGUUCAAAUCAGCUGGGAACACAGGAGGCAAACAUAAGAUUCCUGGAGCUCCCUGUGGUUUUGGCUGGACUGGCAGAGUCUUCGACACAGGCAGAUUUUAUGUGAGUUUGCCCUGCUCCCUGUCUGUUCCCUGAGCCCACUCCGUACCACUGCUCAGAUCCAGGUUUUCUUCUCAGGUGACCCAGUGGAUGCUCUCUCCGCAUGGAACAAGGUUUAAAGCCUUGUGGUUUAGUGAUGAAUGGUCAUGUACGAGACAGGUUCCUGGCCAAGGCCUCCUGGGUGGUCAUGAAACCCAACCUGCAGACUGACUCAGUUGUCCCCAUCUUGGCUGACACCAGCAUGGGAUGUCCAUCACAGUUCAUAACUGGAGCUGGAGGCAAAGCUGAGCCUCAGACCUGGCUGCAAGGAGCCCACAUGUUGUUUACAGUCUGCAUGAGAUGGUCUUCUGUGAGUUUCCACAUCUUAGGUAUUCUUUUCUCUCUGAGUGUCAUCUUUUGUUUUAAAUCUUCUAUUUGAAGCAUUUUCUUUGGCUUUUUUUCCUGAUGAUUUCCAUCUAAGAAAUUGAUGUGUCAUUGUAUUUGGAGGAUCCUCUUCUCUAGGAAGUUGAAUAAACACUGCAGUGAGGAACA
Molecule: long non-coding RNA, 632 nt
Organism: Bos indicus x Bos taurus (hybrid cattle)
Lineage: Eukaryota; Metazoa; Chordata; Mammalia; Artiodactyla; Bovidae
Source: Ensembl